CACGUAGGGGCCAAGCGUUGUCCGGAUUUAUUGGGCGUAAAGAGCUCGUAGGCGGCUCGGUAAGUCGGGUGUGAAACCUCCAGGCUCAACCUGGAGACGCCACCCGAUACUGCUGUGGCUAGAGUCCGGUAGGGGAGCGUGGAAUUCCUGGUGUAGCGGUGAAAUGCGCAGAUAUCAGGAGGAACACCAGCGGCGAAGGCGGCGCUCUGGGCCGGAACUGACGCUGAGGAGCGAAAGCGUGGGUAGCAAACAGG
This 254-nucleotide ribosomal RNA is filed under the name uncultured bacterium. RNAcentral's name for it is "partial 16S ribosomal RNA". It matches the Rfam family "Bacterial small subunit ribosomal RNA", at positions 524 to 776 of the family's 1533-position model. The record is from RNAcentral.